Molecule: ribosomal RNA, 465 nt
Filed under: Vreelandella stevensii
Lineage: Bacteria; Pseudomonadati; Pseudomonadota; Gammaproteobacteria; Oceanospirillales; Halomonadaceae
Description: partial 16S ribosomal RNA
Rfam family: Bacterial small subunit ribosomal RNA
Source: RNAcentral
CCUACGGGAGGCUGCAGUGGGGAAUAUUGGACAAUGGGGGGAACCCUGAUCCAGCCAUGCCGCGUGUGUGAAGAAGGCCCUCGGGUUGUAAAGCACUUUCAGUGAGGAAGAACGCCUGGUGGUUAAUACCCAUCAGGAAAGACAUCACUCACAGAAGAAGCACCGGCUAACUCCGUGCCAGCAGCCGCGGUAAUACGGAGGGUGCGAGCGUUAAUCGGAAUUACUGGGCGUAAAGCGCGCGUAGGUGGCUUGAUAAGCCGGUUGUGAAAGCCCCGGGCGCAACCUGGGAACGGCAUCCGGAGCUGUCAAGCUAGAGUGCAGGAGAGGAAGGUAGAAUUCCCGGUGUAGCGGUGAAAUGCGUAGAGAUCGGGAGGAAUACCAGUGGCGAAGGAGGCCUUCUGGACUGACACUGACACUGAGGUGCGAAAGCGUGGGUAGCAAACAGGAUUAGAUACCCGUGUAGUC